RNAcentral lists this ribosomal RNA (973 nucleotides) under uncultured bacterium. RNAcentral's name for it is "bacterial SSU rRNA". It matches the Rfam family "Bacterial small subunit ribosomal RNA", at positions 531 to 1493 of the family's 1533-position model. The record is from RNAcentral.
GGGGCCGUUGAUUCGGGAUUAUUGGGCGUAAGCGCGUGUAGGCGGGAAGACAGGUCAGGUGUGAAAUCCCUUGGCUCAACCAAGGAACUGCAUCUGAAACCAUUUUCCUCGAGUACGAUAGGGGAGGGCGGAAUUCCCAGUGUAGAGGUGAAAUUCAUAGAUAUUGGGAGGAACACCAGUGGCGAAGGCGACCCUCUGGAUCGAUACUGACGCUGAGACGCGAAAGCGUGGGUAGCAAACAGGAUUAGAUACCCUGGUAGUCCACGCUGUAAACGAUGUGCACUAGGUGUUGGAGGUACUUAAUCCUCCAGUGCCGCAGCUAACGCAUUAAGUGCACCGCCUGGGGAUUACGGCCGCAAGGUUAGAACUCAAAGGAAUUGACGGGGGCCCGCACAAGCGGUGGAGUAUGUGGUUUAAUUCGACGCAACACGCAAAACCUUACCUGGGCUUGACAUGCUGGGAUUAGUUCUGAGAAAUCAGAGCGAUUGCCUUCGGGUGUAACCAGCACAGGUGCUGCAUGGCUGUCGUCAGCUCGUGUCGUGAGAUGUUGGGUUAAGUCCCGCAACGAGCGCAACCCUUACCAUUAGUUGCCAUCAUUCAGUUGGGCACUCUAAUGGAACUGCCGGUGUCAAACCGGAGGAAGGUGAGGAUGACGUCAAGUCCUCAUGGCCUUUAUGCCCAGGGCUACACACGUACUACAAUGGUCAAUACAACGGGCUGCAAGCUCGCAAGAGCAAGCAAAUCCCUGAAAGUUGUCCCCAGUUCGGAUUGGAGUCUGCAACUCGACUCCAUGAAGUUGGAAUCGCUAGUAAUCGCGGAUCAGCAGGCCGCGGUGAAUACGUUCUCGGGCCUUGUACACACCGCCCGUCACACCACGAGAGUCAAUUGCACCAGAAGUCGUUGGGCUAAUCCCUAUCAAAUGGGAAAGGCAGACGCCUAAAGUGUGGUUGGUGAUUGGGGUGAAGUCGUAACC